UUGAGCACAGUAUGUCAACCGCCAUAUGAAGAAGAAGAAGAUAUUGACCACAGUAAGUUCCGUGGAGCUAGCUACACCAAAGCCAUCGAUGGGCUACACGCGUUAUGGACUCAAAACAAUGGGUUUUCCUCACUACUCAUUAAUCCAAGAACAACUCAUCGUGAUGGAGCACCUGUACUCCCUGAUACAGCAGGAUCUGAGGGGAUUCCUCAGACAGGACGCAGAUGUGGAUUGACAACAUCCUGCAGUUUGACUUUAUUAGAAUAAGUGUUGUUUUGAAUAAAGGACAAUAAAAUUGAAUUAUUUUACAUACUACUUACUGUAUGUUAACCUGACUCACCACUUGAAUUUCGUUCCACCUAGCUCCUCACAUUCAUCUGGAACUACUCCAUUGGAAAUGUAUUUCAGAAGGCAGGGCCUUGUCAAAACUCCUUUCAUAUGAUUGGAUAAACUAAUUUGACAUGCUACUACAACAGGGGUGGGCAAACUAAGGCCCAGGGGCCACAUGCGGCCCUCUGCUCUGUUUCAUGUGGCCCGCCAUGAAGUCAAACACAUAAAAUUAAAUGUGGCCUGUUGUUACAUAAACCUGAUAUACAUCCAUCACACAGCAUGGUUUCAUAACUGAUGUGCUAUGUUUGUCAAUGAAAACAAGAGAACAGGCCGCACUAUGCAUAAGCAAUCACCAUUUAUUCACACAGACGCGCUUCGGCGCUCUGCCUUCCCAGUAUGUUUGUCAAUACCAUCAUCAAGCUGUACUUUUGGGAACUCUGACUGAAUAAAUACAUUUUUUUGGAAGAUAA
Molecule: long non-coding RNA, 800 nt
Organism: Sardina pilchardus (European sardine)
Lineage: Eukaryota; Metazoa; Chordata; Actinopteri; Clupeiformes; Clupeidae
Exons: 2
Source: RefSeq, a predicted model, not a curated record